UGCCAGCCGCCGCGGUAAGACGUAGGGACCGAGCGUUGUCCGGAAUUAUUGGGCGUAAAGAGCUCGUAGGCGGUUGCGUAAGUCGGAUGUGAAAACUCAGGGCUCAACCCUGAGACGCCAUCCGAUACUGCGCUGACUUGAAUCCAGUAGGGGAGCGUGGAAUUCCUGGUGUAGCGGUGAAAUGCGCAGAUAUCAGGAGGAACACCUAUGGCGAAGGCAGCACUCUGGGCUGGUAUUGACGCUGAGGAGCGAAAGCAUGGGUAGCAAACAGGAUUAGAUA
Molecule: ribosomal RNA, 280 nt
Filed under: uncultured bacterium
Lineage: Bacteria
Description: partial 16S ribosomal RNA
Rfam family: Bacterial small subunit ribosomal RNA
Source: RNAcentral